Non-coding RNA from Castor canadensis (American beaver), 624 nucleotides. The record is from the annotation of a RefSeq genome assembly. NCBI's taxonomy places the organism in Eukaryota, Metazoa, Chordata, Mammalia, Rodentia, Castoridae.
AUGGGCUAUCAUGACCCUGGCCCCAGGCAGCAUGCAACCCUCCUGCUGCUGCUGCUUCUUCUGGGCCUGGCUUUGGGGACCCAGAGUCUGCUGCCCUCAAAAGCAGCACGGAGGGGCAGAGCCCUGAGCCCUAGUGCCCGAGCAGGAAGCAGUCAGUCCAGUCUGUGGAGCCUGUGGGGCAGGUUCCUGCUCCAGCCCAGCCCCCAGGCAGCAGGUGGUCCCAGGUGCUGGCCCAAUGGACUUUGGUCAGCACCUAAGUCACUAUGGUAUGUCUUUGGUGGUGGAACCCAGCUCACUGUAUUAGGUCAGCCCAAGGCCGUUCCCUCAGUCAUCCUGUUCCCACCUUCCUAUGAGGAACUCCAGGAUAACAGGGCUACGCUGGUGUGUCUGAUGAAUGACUUCUACCCAGGUGCUGUGACAGUGGUCUGGAAGGUAGAUGGCACCCUUGUCACCCAGGGUGUGGAGACCACCCAGCCCUCAAAACAAAGCAACAACAAGUACAUAGCCAGCAGCUACCUGACCCUUACCCCUGACCAGUGGACAGCUCACAGAAGAUAUAGCUGCCAGGUCAUGCAUGAAGGGAGCACGGUGGAGAAAAGUGUAUCCCUUGCAGAAUGUUCCUAG